CUGAAGGAGAGCGUGUGUUUACACCAUCACCUGUCAAACAGAGAAGCCCUGCUUUAUUUUCAUUCUGUAAGGACCAGAAAAAACGGCUCACACUGAAGCGACUACGGUAGCUAUCAACUGGACGGACUCUCUGGCCAUCGACCAUUUGCAGCACCGGACAACGGUACCAUACUCGAACCAUGAGCUCAGUGGCGGUGUUGACACC
Gadus chalcogrammus (walleye pollock) is the source of this 205-nucleotide long non-coding RNA. RefSeq lists it as uncharacterized. The record is from RefSeq and is a predicted model, not a curated record. The transcript has 3 exons. Lineage: Eukaryota; Metazoa; Chordata; Actinopteri; Gadiformes; Gadidae.